Molecule: ribosomal RNA, 260 nt
Filed under: uncultured prokaryote
Description: partial 16S ribosomal RNA
Rfam family: Bacterial small subunit ribosomal RNA
Source: RNAcentral
UACGGAGGAUGCAAGCGUUAUCCGGAUUUAUUGGGUUUAAAGGGUGCGUAGGCGGGAAAAUAAGUCAGUGGUGAAAUCCUACAGCUUAACUGUAGAAUUGCCGUUGAUACUGUUUUUCUUGAGUAUGGUUAAGGUAGGUGGAAUGUGCAUGUAGCGGUGAAAUGCAUAGAGAUUGCACAGAAGGCCGAUUGCGAAGGCAGCUUACUGAACCAUAACUGACGCUCAGGCACGAAAGCGUGGGGAUCAAACAGGAUUAGAUA